Molecule: transfer RNA, 71 nt
Filed under: Girella punctata (largescale blackfish)
Lineage: Eukaryota; Metazoa; Chordata; Actinopteri; Centrarchiformes; Girellidae
Also listed under: 1 other name
Description: tRNA-Gln
Rfam family: tRNA
About the family: Transfer RNA (tRNA) molecules are approximately 80 nucleotides in length. Their secondary structure includes four short double-helical elements and three loops (D, anti-codon, and T loops).
Source: RNAcentral
UAGAAAGUGGUGUAGGGGAAGCACAGAGAGUUUUGAUCUCUCUAGGAGGGGUUCGAUCCCCCUUUUUCUAU